RNAcentral lists this ribosomal RNA (446 nucleotides) under uncultured bacterium. RNAcentral's name for it is "partial 16S ribosomal RNA". It matches the Rfam family "Bacterial small subunit ribosomal RNA", at positions 329 to 792 of the family's 1533-position model. The record is from RNAcentral.
CGCCAGACUCCUACGGGAGGCAGCAGUGGGGAAUAUUGCACAAUGGGGGAAACCCUGAUGCAGCGACGCCGCGUGAGCGAUGAAGUAUUUCGGUAUGUAAAGCUCUAUCAGCAGGGAAGAAAAUGACGGUACCUGACUAAGAAGCCCCGGCUAACUACGUGCCAGCAGCCGCGGUAAUACGUAGGGGGCAAGCGUUAUCCGGAUUUACUGGGUGUAAAGGGGGCGCAGACGGCGAUGCAAGCCAGGAGUGAAAGCCCGGGGCCCAACCCCGGGACUGCUCUUGGAACUGCGUGGCUGGAGUGCAGGAGGGGCAGGCGGAAUUCCUGGUGUAGCGGUGAAAUGCGUAGAUAUCAGGAGGAACACCGGUGGCGAAGGCGGCCUGCUGGACUGCAACUGACGUUGAGGCCCGAAAGCGUGGGGAGCAAACAGGAUUAGAUACCCCCGUA